AUGGCACCUGUGGAAUCAUAUCUCAGACUUCACAAGAGCCACAUCUUUCCAUACAUCAAUGACUGGCUCCUUGUGGCUCGCUCACAUUGCAAAGCACAACACAACAUCUCCUUCACCCUGUCCCUUCUCAGGGAUCUCAGCCUGGCAGUAAACCUGCAAAAAUCCAAAAUACACCCCGCAAGUCUAGCUCACUACAUAGGAGCAGUUCUGGAUUCGAGACCCACUUGGGCUAUCCUUCCAACGGACAAGUGUACCAACUUAUUAAGCUUACUCAGUGCCUUUACUCCCUAUGCACCUGUAUCUGCACUGAUAGUCCACUGUGUCCUGGGCACUAUGGCAUCCAUGACCUCAGUAGUCCAACAUGUUCAUCUCAAAAUGAAGUCACUUCAAGCUUGGUUCCUGGCUUCAUUCAACCCCAUGACAGACUCACCACAUAUGUUUUUGCGAGUCACUGCAGAACUCACUUCCCAGCUGACUUGGUGGCACUCUGCCCAAAAUCUAAUGAUGGGACGACCUUUUCAACAGCCACGGCCACAAAUCCAAGUGACCACAGAUGCCAGCCUCACCGGCUGGGGUGCUCACUGCCAAGCCUUACGGAUUCAUGCACAGUGGUCACAAAGAGAAAAGUUAUUCCACAUCAACAAGCUGGAGUUGCCAGCAAAAGCUUGCAAAGCCUUCAAAAACCACCUUACUGACAAAAUGGUUCAGAUAGCCACAGACAAUACGGCUACAAUGUACUAUAUUCUAAAACAAGGAGGUACCCAUUCUCCAAGCCUCCUGUAUCUAGCUGUGGACCUCUGGGAGUGGUGCCUAGCCCACCACAUAUGCCUCAUGGCAAUACAUAUAGCAGGUCAGGACAAUGACCUCGCGGACUUGCUCAGUCGCAAAGAGUCCCAAGCUCUUGACCAUUCAGUCUUUCUCUCACUGUGCAAGCAUUGGCGACCAUUCAGUCUUUCUCUCACUGUGCAAACAUUGGGGCACACCCGCAGUAGACCUCUUUUCCUCCAGGAACAACCGGAAGUGCAAACAUUAUCAUUCCCACAUAAGAGUAGGGGGGGAAACUGCAGAGACGCAUUUGUAGGCCAUUGGCCCAUCAAACAUUAUCAUUCCCACGUAAGAGUAGGGGGGGAAACUCCCGCAGAGACGCAUUUGUAG
This 1155-nucleotide long non-coding RNA is filed under the name Pogona vitticeps (central bearded dragon). Its description in RNAcentral is "lncRNA (ENSPVIG00000001604.1)". The record is from RNAcentral. Lineage: Eukaryota; Metazoa; Chordata; Lepidosauria; Squamata; Agamidae.